AUAAAGAGAAAGAGAGAGAGAGAGAGAGAGAGAGAGAGAGACUACGUUGAGUUUCACUAGGUUUUUUUUUCCUUACUUUACCUUUUACGCGUAGUGGCUUCUCACCUUCUUCCUCUUCAGUUUCUAGUUCAUCUCAAAGCAGUCACAUGCUCCAUUUCUUUAGCUUUACAUUAUACAACUUACAACCUUCUGUUGUUCCCUCUCAUAAAUAUCUAUUGAGAUGAACUCGUCAUCCUUUCCGAUCUGUAACGUAGCUCCCCAUAAUUUUUGAUCGUUAGUUUUCUCUUCAAGUGAGGAACUUUACCCUUAUAAAAAACCCCAAAGUUUUCUUCCAAGAGGAUUUUGAAAUCUCUACUACUUUUCUGUCAGAAUAAUUUAUCUCUUAAAUCUUCCGACUACUUGCUGGAUUUCAGUUCUAAGUAGUACAACUAUGGUAAGAAGUAUUUUGGAUUACGAGAUGUCAGAAAGGAGCAAGACAAAAAGGGAGCUUAGAUGUUAUGUGGAAGAGUAAGAUUAAGCGUGGUGGAAUAAUUGUCGGUUAUGGAAUAGUUUGAAUUCUAAUUUAUGGCAUUUUUCUUUAUGAACAAACAAUUUGAGUGAAACUUGGUGUUUUGAACUCUUUUUAUAUAUAAAGGUUUUCUCAUAGUUCUUUUCUUGUUAUUGUUAUGUUAUCAUGCAUGUCAAUGAAAACAUCUCCAAUAGUUAAAAAAAUUGGGGGCGUUAGAAUUGGUAACACAGCAAAGGUUUUAUAGGUUCUACAGACACUAUGAUUUUUAUUGGAUUUUGAAAUUUGGGUAGGAAAUGGUAAAGUAAGAGACUGGUUGAUUUUUUUUUUUUUUUGAAUGAGCUAAGUUUGCCUACUUAGUCAUUUUAGUUUUAAAAUAGUUAUUUUGAUUUUUAGGAUGACUUCUCAACAUAAUUUCGUCAAUUUAAAUGAGCCAAUCAGUGGGGAGACUUCGACUGGACCAAGUUCCAAUGGUUCUGCGGUAAUACAGGAAGUAUCGCAACAAGUGAUGAAAGAAAUUGCAUGUAACUCUACAAUGAGGAAUGGACAUAUAUUAAAUGAAAGAUGCACUAUAGAACAAUUUAACCGAUUGUGACAUCCAACAAUUGAAGGAAAGGCUGAUCCGAUUGCUGCUAAGGAUUGGAUUCAAGACACUGAAGAAAUUCUUAGAGUUUUGCGAUGCACCGAUGAACAAAAAGUUUUGUUCUCAACAUUUAAAUUGAUUAGAGAAGCAAAACGUUGGUAGAUAUAAAAAAGGACGCUCUUGGAACAGGUAAUGGAGCAAACUCCAAUCACAUGGAAUCGUUUUAAGGAAAUUUCGAUGGGCCCCAAGGCGGACCAAGUCUUAAGGAUCAAUUACAAGAUCAAGAGCUAAGAAGAUCAAGGAGGUUAUGCAAAGAUGACUGAAAUCCACUUGGGACGAGUCUAACAAGAGCCCAACAUUCAAGAUGGGCUUAAAAGAAGAAAAUCUAAUUCUCACUCACAUGAUACAACAAGUUAUAGAAGACAUGACUUGCACUACAAAAAAAAGCAAAAUUGGCGGCGUUUCUAUGUGCGGCAUUUGUUUAUGCGCCAGUAGAUAUAUAAAUUUACCGGCACUUAAUGUUUCCGCCAGGAAAUUAUUGAGAUUCUCGGCAUUUAAAUUUUUACGCCGAUAAUAAUAUAUAGCUUUGGCGGCGUUUAUAACAACGCCGCAAAGAUAGUAAUGAUGCGUCGGGAAAUUAGUAGUUUCCAGACAUUUAUAUUGUUACGCAGGUAAUAAUAUAUGUUUUUGUGGCGUUUAAACAAA
Molecule: long non-coding RNA, 1793 nt
Organism: Carya illinoinensis
Lineage: Eukaryota; Viridiplantae; Streptophyta; Magnoliopsida; Fagales; Juglandaceae
Exons: 2
Source: RefSeq, a predicted model, not a curated record